CCGAUGUGUCAUCGCGUUUGGCAGCGAGUUGCAGGAGAAAAACGCGAACGGCAGCAUGGACCAGCUGUAAGUGCGACCAGUACACUGAAAUUGUCCUUAAUAUCGGCUGCUUUGAAAUCUGUGAAACGUUGGCUUUUGCUACUUUUGAACGAAGCUCGACCAAUUUUGCUUGCAGGAGCAUCAGUGCGUGCUUGCCGCACAGGAAUGCGUCCUCCAUUGUUACGCUUGGCUUCUAAACAUCGACAUUGAACUGCGGUUUCGUUUCUGUCUUGCGCGAAAGUGGACUGUGUUCUGACCUUGACCUGUGCAACUGUUAACCGUAAGAGAGAGUCCGUAACGUCUUGGUGCGCUACAUGGAAACGCUUGCGUAACACUUCACUAUUUUGAUGUUCACCUUUGAAGGGCAUUUCGCAGCGCCGCUUUUUGCUUGACACCUCUCAGGUAAGCUUUCGGUUCAUUGAAGAUUUUACCGAACCCUCAAAACAAGCAGUUUUGCACGGGCAAAGUAAAUACGCCCUCAGUCCGGCCCAGCCGAGUUUCAUCUAUGCUCUUUCACAUGGACCUACCUUGACCGAAGCCCUGAAGAAGAUUAUCACGUGCCUGGCCCGGACAGCGUCAUUGUGACCUGUAGAAGGUAUUGGGGGGAUUCUCGGCACCGCACAACAAACAAAUUCAAAAGUGAGAUGGGAAGGGAAAAAGGGAAUUCGCGAAAUUGUCGCGCUCCAGACAAUUGCCCACCUACGAUUCAAGGCGGAACUGGAUAAUCGAAAUCCCAUGUUUCGCCAUGUCUCUACUGCUCAUAUAAGCUCGAUGGCAUGCUCAGUGAACAUUCUGUUCUACUACGCUAGCAGCCCUGGACGCUGUGUCCACGGCCGCAGUAGCUGCAUGCAAUCGGCCAUCUUGACCGGGGCCAUUCUGCCGUACGUAUGCUGUCGCGACUGGUAGCAUCGACAAAUCAUGUGCGUACGGCAGACUACCCCAGAGGUGAAAGACGACCAGCGGAGGUGAAGACGCCGCCAUCGCUGGUACCGCUUCGCCACCGCUGACGUCAGUGAAUGCCGGUGUGGAUAACUGAUCGCCAGGGGCGUCGGGGCCUGGGUCAGCGUAGGUAGCCGGGUAGCAUGGAAUGGCUGUGGAGGAGAUGAGGCUGCCAUUGCUUCUAUUCGGGGUUGGCAAUUGAUGCUGUGUUACUGCUGCUACCGCCGGUGUUGGAGGCGGCACCAGCACUGGAAGCCGGCAUGAAAGUGAGGAAGGCG
This 1256-nucleotide long non-coding RNA is filed under the name Volvox carteri. Its description in RNAcentral is "long non-coding RNA (VCAR_LNC001440)". The record is from RNAcentral. Lineage: Eukaryota; Viridiplantae; Chlorophyta; Chlorophyceae; Chlamydomonadales; Volvocaceae.